Long non-coding RNA from Onychostruthus taczanowskii (white-rumped snowfinch), 212 nucleotides. RefSeq lists it as uncharacterized. Lineage: Eukaryota; Metazoa; Chordata; Aves; Passeriformes; Passeridae. The transcript has 3 exons. The record is from RefSeq and is a predicted model, not a curated record.
CGGUGUUCCCGGCAGUUCGCGACCGUUACGGCGACGCCUCCUCCAGCAGCUCCAGCUCCGACUCCAGCGGCGACGAUGACGUGGCGCUGGACCCCCGCGAGGAGCGGGAAUUCUACCGGACGCUGGCGCUGCUGAAGACGCGCGACCCCCGCGUGUACCGGCCCGACACCGAGUUCUACAGCCGCGGGCCCGAGGAGGAGGAGGAGGAGGAG